This 501-nucleotide ribosomal RNA is filed under the name uncultured bacterium. RNAcentral describes it as "partial 16S ribosomal RNA". It matches the Rfam family "Bacterial small subunit ribosomal RNA", at positions 30 to 523 of the family's 1533-position model. The record is from RNAcentral.
AUUGAACGCUGGCGGCAGGCUUAACACAUGCAAGUCGAGCGGGGGAAGGUAGCUUGCUACCGGACCUAGCGGCGGACGGGUGAGUAAUGCUUAGGAAUCUGCCUAUUAGUGGGGGACAACAUCUCGAAAGGGAUGCUAAUACCGCAUACGUCCUACGGGAGAAAGCAGGAGAUCUUCGGACAUUGCGCUAAUAGAUGAGCCUAAGUCGGAUUAGCUAGUUGGUGGGGUAAAGGCCUACCAAGGCGACGAUCUGUAGCGGGUCUGAGAGGAUGAACCGCCACACUUGGACUGGGACACGGCCCAGACUCCUACGGGAGGCAGCAGUGGGGAAUAUUGGACAAUGGGGGGAACCCUGAUCCAGCCAUGCCGCGUGUGUGAAGAAGGCCUUAUGGUUGUAAAGCACUUUAAGCGAGGAGGAGGCUACUCUAGUUAAUACCUAGGGAUAGUGGACGUUACUCGCAGAAUAAGCACCGGCUAACUCUGUGCCAGCCGCCGCCGUAA